ACAGCCGUACCGUGCUGAAUAUAUCGGUUCUCGUUAGAUCACCGAAGUCAAGCAUCAUUGGGCGCGGUCAGUACUUGGGUGGGUGACCACCUGGGAACACUGCGUGCCGUU
Molecule: ribosomal RNA, 111 nt
Filed under: Caerostris darwini
Lineage: Eukaryota; Metazoa; Arthropoda; Arachnida; Araneae; Araneidae
Source: RNAcentral